AGUGAACGCUGGCGGUAGGCCUAACACAUGCAAGUCGAACGGCAGCACAGUAAGAGCUUGCUCUUACGGGUGGCGAGUGGCGGACGGGUGAGGAAUACAUCGGAAUCUACUUUUUCGUGGGGGAUAACGUAGGGAAACUUACGCUAAUACCGCAUACGACCUACGGGUGAAAGCAGGGGAUCUUCGGACCUUGCGCGAUUGAAUGAGCCGAUGUCGGAUUAGCUAGUUGGCGGGGUAAAGGCCCACCAAGGCGACGAUCCGUAGCUGGUCUGAGAGGAUGAUCAGCCACUCUGGAACUGAGACACGGUCCAGACUCCUACGGGAGGCAGCAGUGGGGAAUAUUGGACAAUGGGCGCAAGCCUGAUCCAGCCAUACCGCGUGGGUGAAGAAGGCCUUCGGGUUGUAAAGCCCUUUUGCUGGGAAAGAAAAGCAGCAGGUUAAUACCCCGCUGUUCUGACGGUACCCAAAGAAUAAGCACCGGCUAACUUCGUG
Molecule: ribosomal RNA, 492 nt
Filed under: uncultured bacterium
Lineage: Bacteria
Description: partial 16S ribosomal RNA
Rfam family: Bacterial small subunit ribosomal RNA
Source: RNAcentral